UGGACAGAAAGACCCUAUGAAGCUUUACUGUUCCCUGGGAUUGGGUUUGGGCCUUUCUUGCGCAGCUUAGGUGGGAGGCAGAGAAGAUUUCCUUCCGGGGAAAUUAGAGCCACCAAUGAGACACCACCCUAGAAAGGCUAGAAUUCUAACUUUGUACCUAGCAGAAGGUCAGAGGACAUUCCCAGGUAGACAGUUUCUAUGGGGCGUAGGCCUCCUAAAAAGUAACGGAGGCGUGCAAAGGUUUCCUCAGGCUGGACGGAAAUCAGCCUUUGAGUGUAAAGGCAGAAGGAAGCUUGACUGCAAGACUUACACGUCGAGCAGGGACGAAAGUCGGCCUUAGUGAUCCGACGGUGCCGAGUGGAAGGGCCGUCGCUCAACGGAUAAAAGUUACUCUAGGGAUAA
Molecule: ribosomal RNA, 402 nt
Filed under: Zygnema sp. 1 AS-2014
Lineage: Eukaryota; Viridiplantae; Streptophyta; Zygnematophyceae; Zygnematales; Zygnemataceae
Description: bacterial LSU rRNA
Rfam family: Bacterial large subunit ribosomal RNA
Source: RNAcentral